GUUUUACUCUCUAACCCUUCAUUAGAAAAAGAUGAAUAAUCUGAACCCUUCUUGUGCCUCCAUCCCUCUUGAAUAAGCAAAACUUCAACCCUUCACGCUUCUUUCUUUUUCUCUAUCAUGAAUUUUGCUUUUGUCUUCUCUCUGUUUCCAUAGUCUGUUUUAAUUUCUUUUUUCUAUACUCAUUAUUUAGCAAAUUUCUACAGAUUACGUUCAAAAUAUUUUCUCUACGAAGCAAAAUGGCAGACAUCUUUUCUAUGUUAGAUCUGGAAAAUUUAGUAACCAUACAUAUUGGGAGUUUCUGUUAAGUUCCGAAUUUUGAGUUGUCUCUCAUAAUCUACCUCAUUUUUUCUCUCUAAUUCUUAACAAGAAAUUCGAGCCCUAAGAUCUGGGAAUUGCUUUUGAGAAUGACCUUCAUGCGAGAUUAGUGCAAAUGAUGAAGAUUGCCGAAGAACAUAGACGAAUUUUGAGUUCGACAUGAGGAUUUUUUUUAAGGUAAUUAACUAAAAUUUCAUUUCCGUUUUUAAUUUUUGAUUUCUGUGUUUUUUUUUUUUUGAAAAAUAGUUGGAUCUGGGAUUUUUAUUCUUAGAUUUUUGUAAAGAUUUGAAAUUGUUUUAUGAUUUCAUUUUCUGCUUGUGUAUUGUUGCUUCAAGAUUGUAGAAGAAUAUAGAAGAAUUUUGAGAAAAAUUCACUAAAAAUCGGACAUCAGACACUUUACAAGUGAAAUGCUCUCAGAUCUGGAAGUUUGCGCGAAAAGGAAGAUGGAGGCACAAGAAGGUUAUUUGGGAUAACUAAACCCGCUGUUCGUCGAUUGACUCGAUGCAGUGCAAAGAGGCAGGGAUUUACAUUUUGGGGGUCAUAUAGGGUUCGAUUUUAGGUUUUGGUUUUCUAGAUUUCAUGUAAAUGCAAAUUGUUUGGCUUUUGCUAAUAUGCAAUUAGAGUUAUUUUUUAUUUCUUUGUUAGGUGUAAGAUAAAUUUUCAACUCCCUUGUUUAAUUUCAAUUGAGUGGUGGGUUUAUCUUUUGAUUUUAGUGAUGAAUUUAGUUUUCAAUCUUGUUAUGGGGUGGAAACAAAAUGAAUGAGUUUUUGAUAAGGAAUUUUGAAGAGUUAAAGAUUGAAACUUCUCUAAUUUUAAAGCCAAAUCAGUGUUGUGAAAUGAAUGGUGUAAAUUUCUUAAGUUGAUAAAAAUCCUUGAAAUUGUGGUUGUGCUAAAUAUCCACGUUAGAAGUUGAAGUUGAGGUUGAGUUGGAGACAAUUUGUGAAAAUUAUGUGCUAUGGACUAGUUAAGUGAGCUUAAUGUAGAUAUACGUUAGUUCUCCUAUAGUCCUAUGUAUUAUAAUGGGAAAUUCAGAUUAAUCUUAA
Molecule: long non-coding RNA, 1358 nt
Organism: Beta vulgaris subsp. vulgaris (sugar beet)
Lineage: Eukaryota; Viridiplantae; Streptophyta; Magnoliopsida; Caryophyllales; Amaranthaceae
Exons: 2
Source: RefSeq, a predicted model, not a curated record